RNAcentral lists this non-coding RNA (29 nucleotides) under Mus musculus (house mouse). The record is from RNAcentral. Lineage: Eukaryota; Metazoa; Chordata; Mammalia; Rodentia; Muridae.
UGGUAUCUGGCUUCUAACCUUCAAGAUGC